This 244-nucleotide unclassified non-coding RNA is filed under the name Hevea brasiliensis (rubber tree). Lineage: Eukaryota; Viridiplantae; Streptophyta; Magnoliopsida; Malpighiales; Euphorbiaceae. The record is from RNAcentral.
CCUCAAAUCCUACUAAAAGCCAUUACGUCCGCCUGCUCUCUGAUCUUGAUCCUGGAUAAUCGCUGUGAUCAGUGUCAGAAUUCUCUUUCUGAGAUUCAAUCUCCAUGCUGUCUCUUUGUGUUCUUCGAUGUCUGCGAUCCUCUCUCGGAAUAGGAUACUCUUCGGAUUCAAGCAUUCUUACAACUUGGCCCAUUUUAGGUCUUUUUUCAUAAUCAGGAUCAACACACCUCAAAGCAGUCAAGAG